This 496-nucleotide long non-coding RNA is filed under the name Homo sapiens (human). Its description in RNAcentral is "HSALNT0389148". The record is from RNAcentral. Lineage: Eukaryota; Metazoa; Chordata; Mammalia; Primates; Hominidae.
AGCCCCUCCCAGACGCCCCGGGGAAACGGCAUCCCAGAGCUCCGCUCCCUGGAGGCCCCUCCAGAGAGGGACCCGGGGCCCCGCCCCGCAGCUGGAGAAGGGGUGAAUGCCUUUCCUACCUAACGCCUGGUCCGCGGCCCUGCUUGUUGCGUCUCCAAGACCACGUGUCUGCUGCAUUUUAAAAAUAGUUGUGAACAUCUGACUUUCUCCUUUUACUUUGGAGUUUGCUGAAAUGUAACCUCAGAAUAAGUGGGGUAUGACUGCCCUCUCCUUUGAGGGAAAAGAAAAAGUAUUUUCAGGCCAGGCACGGUGGCUCAUGCUUAUAAUCCCAGCACUUUGGGAGGCUGAGAAUACAUCAAUAAAAGAAGAACAAUUCAAGAGAAACAGGAAAUUCACAGAAGAGGAAACCGGAAUUGUCAUAAACAAAUGAAAAAUGCUCAACUUCCCUAGUAAUUAUGAGAAUUCAAAUCAAAAUAAAGACUUCAUUUCACACUUA